Non-coding RNA from Merops nubicus (carmine bee-eater), 71 nucleotides. The record is from Rfam. NCBI's taxonomy places the organism in Eukaryota, Metazoa, Chordata, Aves, Coraciiformes, Meropidae.
GCAGUGGUGGCUCAGUGGUAGAAUUCUUGCCUGCCAUGUGGGAGGCCUGGGUUUGAUUCCCAGCCAAUGCA